Microcebus murinus (gray mouse lemur) is the source of this 2050-nucleotide non-coding RNA. The record is from RefSeq and is a predicted model, not a curated record. Lineage: Eukaryota; Metazoa; Chordata; Mammalia; Primates; Cheirogaleidae.
CCCGGCCAAGCCCUGGGACCGGAGGGCGCACCCUCCCAGCGCCCGAACCCGGGCAACUUCCCGCCGCCCGGGACGGAGUUUCUCCGUUGCCUACGGACAUCCGGGAGGCGUGUGGAGGGCAGGCGGGGUAACCCUCACUCCCACCCCACCUUUAUCCAGGGGGAGCCGGAGGAGCCAGCAGGUCCGGACUCGCUGAGGGGGCUCCACGCGGGGCCUCCCACGCACAGGAGGGCAGCCCAAGGAAAGCCCUUUUCAGAACCUGGUGCAGCAGCCUGUGUGGGAGGAGCAGGAGUGCGAGCAGGACGCUGCAGACCUCUUUCCACGCGCCAGCUCAUGUUAUGCUUGCUAGUCCCCGGAAGGACAUUGGCAAGGAAAAGAAAAGCGAGAGAUAAAACCCACCCUGAGCUCUGCCGUGGACCCGAGGCAGACAGCAUCCAUUCCAGCACACCUGCCAGGCUCACCCUUCUGGGACCUCCUCCCCUCCUCUGAGGCUGUGGCCUCUAGGGGGGACCUCCAGGUAAAGCAGGUAAGACCCAGGCCAGGCUGGCUGAAGAACUUAGGAAGCUUUGCGGACCUCAUGCGUAUGGACGCAGGAGACGGCUGUGUGACAUGGGAGGCUUAGCUGCCGCCUUUGAGGAGCAGCUGUUUAAGAUGGGCGGGAGAGGUUUAUUCAGGCUAAGUCUGCCUGGCGUGGGAACUCCUGCCUUCUCCAUAGGAGUCGCCUCUGCUGGAAGCAGAGUUCAAACAUGUCUGUCCUCAGAGGUCUCAAUGAGUGAUGGCAUCUUCUUCUCAGGGCUCUUGGUGUUUUAUGGCUCUGAGAGUCCCCCGUGGGUAGGAAUGCAGGUGUGACACUGGCUGGUGGAGGGGCUAUUUCAGCUGGGACUCCUCUGCCUGCAUGCUUCCUGGGGCUCCCAUCUCGCUCAUCUCCCCUUCGCUCUCUUUCCCUCCCUUCCUAGGUCCCCGCUCGGCCUCCCUGACCUGGUCACCAGGUGCACACUGAGCCCUGAAGGGCCAGCCCUCCUGCCACUGGGUGGCUGCUGUCUCCUUUGGAUCUUUUUGCGGUCUGGGCUUGCUGUUCCUCUCAACAGUAGUCAGGAAGCCCUUACCCCAAAAAGUAUCUGCGGGAGGCCUUGUCCACAGGGGACCCAGGGCUCCAGGUGAGUCGCACACAAACUCAAGACAGCGAGGGAAGCUGGCUCUCCUUUAGAGGUGCUGAGCGACUUUAGUCAAGCGCUGAGGCUCCGUGUGCCACUUUUAAUUAUUUACAGGUGGACAAUGUCUACUGGAAGACUCCCCAAGGUAAGAAAAAAAAGGAGUGGCUCAAUUUAAGGCCAGGGAAGACCACUGUGGGGGCCUCAGGUGGCUGGGCCCUCCCAGUAUUCAGUCCUCUGUAUGCAGAUGACCUCCCUUGGAGCUCCUUUUGGAGAAGGUCCCCCCCCCAUAGUGUGGACAGUCUGUGCUGGCUGGAUUGUCACUCAAGAUGUCCUGUCCUCCCACUGCCCACUGGGUGGACAUGAGACCUGAGGCAGGCCGGGGGAUUGGAGUCCUGUGCAGGAUACAAUAUCGGGAACAAAAUGACUGACACUGAUUGAUCCCAGCAGCCAUGCGAGGAGAAGAAUCCGAACUUCUGCUGCCUGUGUGACUGACCUGCCUGGUGCCUGCCCUUUUCUGGCCUGGACCUCCACCUGCCUCCUGCAUCCUGUGAACCACCCCUGAAUCCUUCAAAUAAAAUCCUUGGUUGCUUAAGUUCAGGAGUUGGUAUUCUUGCUUGCCUCGGGUACAGAGCCCUCUAGAGAGAGGAGGUGGGACUGCAUGCUGUGAAGCAGAGGGAGGGGCGCGCCUGGGGCAGCCCACAGGUGUCAGUCCCCAGGGGGCAGGUGACAGAGCCCAGGGCAAGGGUCAUAGACAAGGCUGGGGUUAGGGCCUAAGCAAACUUCCCUAAAGAUGAGAACCGUGUCGGGUAAAGCACAGAAGAGGACCUAUGUAAUACGGAGAGAUUUGAAAUAGAGAAGUAAAUGGGCGCCCUGCUUCUAAAGAGAGCAGAGGAUGG